Molecule: long non-coding RNA, 752 nt
Organism: Cyprinus carpio carpio
Lineage: Eukaryota; Metazoa; Chordata; Actinopteri; Cypriniformes; Cyprinidae
Source: Ensembl
AUCAUCUUAAUGUUUAUGCAGUUAAAUGUUUUUAUUAUUUUUUAUAUCUAAAGCACCUUGUUCAAUAAGUAUUUAGAUGUUUCUCAUAUCUGUCACGGUCUAAGCAUGAUCUGUUUCUGUUGUUCUGAUGAAGGAAACUUGUGUUGGGGAGGAUUCAGUGUCUGUUGAGGCCCAUGUGAAUGUGCUACAAAGUGAGUAUCAGAAAACACAUCCAGACACCUGGACUGUCAAAGACCACACGGCAGGAACAUUCUCCUGGAGACGCUGAGAAAGCACGGAAGGAAUGUCUGUGGAGGAUGUACUAAAAAAACACCCAUACUUAAGGGCACCUGCUGGAUUUUUAUGUAGGGGGACCCUACUACACCCUUUCCUACCAUACACCUGAUGGAUACUGACUGGAAAAUGGCGAUCAUAGGAGGAGGGUUCAGUGUGGUGACAGAAGAUGGAAUAGACGUGUGCCAGUGCACCAGCCUUGAUGAAGCCUUCAUAACAGCCUUCUGUAUCAUUGACUGGAAGUCUGUCAGUCCAGAUGUGAGGAAGACCUACAGAGUGAGUUGGAGCUCAGCAGGUGUGAUGGCUGUAGAUGCUGUGGCCAUGGAAAGAAGGGCGUCUUCACAGCUUUCUAUUCAGACAGAGUUUGCUGGAUUCUGUUCUAUGGACUGCUUCUACAGAAUGAAUGAAUGAUUGAGUGGUCUGUCUAUCUAUCUAUCCAUCUAAUAUUUUUUUAUUUUAUUUUUUUACUUGAAUUUGCG